AUUGAACGCUGGCGGCAGGCCUAACACAUGCAAGUCGAACGAGUGGCGGACGGGUGAGUAAUGUCUGGGAAACUGCCUGAUGGAGGGGGAUAACUACUGGAAACGGUAGCCAAUACCGCAUACCAUUGGAUGUGCCCAGAUGGGAUUAGCUAGUAGGUGGGGGAAAGGCUCACGUAGGCGACGAUCCCUAGCUGGUCUGAGAGGAUGACCAGCCACACUGGAACGGAGAAACCGUCCAGACGCCUACGGGAGGCAGCAGUGGGGAAUAUUGCACAAUGGGCGCAAGCCUGAUGCAGCCAUGCCGCGUGUAUGAGGAAGGCCUUCGGGUUGUAAAGUACUUUCAGCGGGGAGGCGUUACCCGCAGAAGAAGCACCGGCUAACUACGUGCCAGCAGCCGCGGUAAUUC
This 406-nucleotide ribosomal RNA is filed under the name uncultured bacterium. Its description in RNAcentral is "partial 16S ribosomal RNA". It matches the Rfam family "Bacterial small subunit ribosomal RNA", at positions 30 to 526 of the family's 1533-position model. The record is from RNAcentral.